AGAAAGACUUUCAGGCCAAAAAGGCAAUGGGAGGGCCCGCCAUAAGCGUGGCUACACCAGUAUUCUAUUACUCUGCCUAUACCAUGGCACCACGCUUUGGAAUAUUGGAAAUAAUUUAAUUGAGAGCAUCGCGUUAAUUUUGGUUUGACUACCAGGCAUUUGGGAUGCUUUUAAUGUGGUGUGUUGGCAAGGACAUCUACAUUCUGUGGUAGUGAGUGAUGCCACAAGAAGCCUGUCUUUUUUCAUGAAGAAGUUGAGCUUUAAAUAUCGGGAAGACUCCUUUGGUUCAAAUAAUAAGGGUAUUAAUAUGAGUAUGCAAUUUUGAUUUUCAUUAUAUAGAAAUUACAAAACCCACCAUUGAAUAAUGUUUGAUUUGUUUUUAAAUGUAUGUGUAACAACCAACGGACAAUGAUUUUUACAUGCGGCAGUAUGAGAUUUUCCAGGCAGAAUUUCUAGCAAAUCAGCAUUUGAUUAACACAACUGUGAGCAAGGACUCAGCCUAGAGAUUGAGAGCCUCAGCAUAUUAAACUAGCCCAUAUUCCAGUUGUAGCACAAAAUUUGUACAAUCGUGAUUUUUCCGAAAUACCUAAGAAAGUCAAGUAAAUAAAGUUAAGUACGAGGCCUAAGUUAAUGUCACGACAAAAGGUAAAUGUCAAAAAGCAAGUCUUGAAGGUUUUACCUCUAUUGAAUAAUUGGGAUUGCCUGUUAGUAUUUUUUUAAAAUAUUUUUUUGUAAGUUUCUAACAUUUUUGCAAUCUUUAGGUGUUUUAAAAGUGAAGAGCGUUUACGAGCAACCGAAAAUUUGUUAUCACUAAAUGAAAUCAUCCAUUUAAAGCGUUUUCUUACACAUUGAUGAUGCAAGAUAAGCUUCUCGCAUUCGCUGAAUUCCUUCCCCGCGGAUUAAAUAUGACAUAUUUAAUUGAUCCAAAUCUAACUGUCAUAGAACGUUCUAUGACUGCUUCUAUCAGCUUCUAUGUAGGGAAAAACCAAUUAAUUAUCGGCGCUUUGUAAGAUACGGCAAUGAUGCACGGUCUUCCGGUCCAUCAGCUGAGAGCCAAACCACAUUGGAUUUAGGAGCUAUUUUCAUCAUCCAGGAAUUAUUAUCACCUUGCUCUUAGACAGGAACCUGAAGCCUGAACAGUGUUUUAUUAAUCUUAAUGCUAUAUAAAUUAAUGUCCUAGUCUUACAUUGUUUAGGUAUUAAGGCUGGAAUGUUAAGUACUCAUCCGUGGGUGGAAAUCUAAUUGACAAAUGUUCAAAUUGGCCAAAUAUCUUGAGACAGAAAAAACAUAGCAUAAGUUUUGCAAAAAGGAAAAAGGAGCUUCUGGCAAGACUGUUCGACAAAAAAGUCUGGAUUAGUUAAAACCAAAGUUUAGGGUGAAACUAAAUGUAAUUUUCACUUCAGAAAGUUAAACCCUGAAAUACCCCAAAAUUAUUUUAUUGUUUCUUUAAGUAAAUUGAAACAUAAAUUGAUAAUCUUUUUUGUUUUUGCCACCAAUUAAUCUUGUUCUUUAGGGUAUCCUAUGUUGAACUGUGUUGCUGAUGAAAUAUCCCCUUAAAGACUUCCUUAAAGAUGAAGUAAGAGCCUUAGGUCGCUAGCUCGAUCUGCUCGCAGAAUUACUAGAACGUCAUAUUCGUGCAUUGUAAAAAAAAAAGGCGUUCAUUCCCUUCAACCAAUUGUUAACCCGCGAGGUCUCGUAGGAAUCUCCCUUACGCCACUUUAAUUGUAGCUGACAGUGACUGUAAUUAUGGCCCAUUUAGCCCAUGGUUAUCAAGAGCUGCCCUCUUGGUUCUCCGACCUAGAAACUUCCAUCGUCAAAAGCUUCCAGGUUUGUUAUGGUCGUAGAACAGCAGACGACGGAGUUGGCGGCGGAAUUUUACCAUCGGGCAGAACCCAAACGGUCGAAGCAUUGAAAAAUGAUAUCGGUGAGACGUAAGUGCUGAUUCAUAUGAUGGUUGAUUAUGCUGCCAACAUGGCAGGAAAGGAGCGUGCCUUGCUUAAUUGGAUUGAAAUCGCGACGUCGGAAGAAGAGCGUCAUCUUCUGGAAGAGUUGUCCAGUUGCAACCAGAAUGUUGCCACGCUACUGCUUAUUCGCAAUGUUGUUGUUCAGGGAGAUUGCCGGAUUUAAAGCUAUGGCGUAGCACUGAGCUGUGAUUAGACACAACCAAUCUGGAAGGUUCUAGCCACCUACGCCCUGAAUUUCAUAUCUAAAUAUUGUAUUUUAUAUUAAUAGGUAAAAAAAAAAGGGGGUUGGAUGGUUGCUUAUUUUUUCGGUCUUAUUUUUGAAACCUGACUGGAAAAAAUUUCUGCUAGAUAGCUAUGUAGAUUCUCCAUCCAAUUAGCGUUCGGAAUCUGUUUUGGUAUCGCUUCUUGGGUUUAAAUCCUUACAGGAUUGAAAGGCUAACUUUGUCGAAUGCUUUAUUUCGUUUACAUCGCCUAUACUUCAAUAAUUUACAAGUGGGGAACUGUUGCCUUUAAGCAACUAGAAGGUAUUGUGCGUGUAUAUAUACGAAUCAAGGCCUAAUGGGUGAGCAUUGGAUUUCGGCGUUGUAUGUUUUUGUAUCAAAUCCCAUCUGAGGUAAAAAGUACGUAAUAUUUGCUGA
RNAcentral lists this long non-coding RNA (2602 nucleotides) under Daphnia magna. RNAcentral describes it as "uncharacterized LOC116925827, transcript variant X2". Lineage: Eukaryota; Metazoa; Arthropoda; Branchiopoda; Diplostraca; Daphniidae. The record is from RNAcentral.